RNAcentral lists this ribosomal RNA (1018 nucleotides) under Cyzicus gynecia. RNAcentral's name for it is "eukaryotic LSU rRNA". It matches the Rfam family "Eukaryotic large subunit ribosomal RNA", at positions 65 to 919 of the family's 3401-position model. The record is from RNAcentral. Lineage: Eukaryota; Metazoa; Arthropoda; Branchiopoda; Diplostraca; Cyzicidae.
CUAACAAGGAUUCCCCUAGUAGCGGCGAGCGAAGAGGGAAAAGCCCAGCACCGAACCUCGCACCCCCGGGUGUCGCGGAAUGUGGUGUUCAGGAGGACCGUGCGCGUCUGUCCGGUAUCGUCCAAGUCUCCAUGAAUGGGGCCAGCAACCCAGAGAGGGUGUCAGGCCCGUGGGACGAGCCGCGACCGUGUAUUGGGUCUCUCCUUAGAGUCGGGUUGCUUGAGAGUGCAGCCCUAAGCGGGAGGUAAACUCCUUCUAAGGCUAAAUACGGCCACGAGACCGAUAGCGAACAAGUACCGCGAGGAAAGUUGAAAAGAACUUUGAAGAGAGAGUUCAAUAGUGCGUGAAACCGUUCAGGGGGUUAAACGGGUGGGCCCUCGAAGGUCGAACGCCCCCUACUCCUGUUCCUGUAGCGCUGGCACGUGCUGCUUUUCGAUCUCGCUACGAGACGGAGCUUGGUGCGGUAUGCCGGACUGCAGGGGCCGCUAGUUAGGGGGCCAGUAGGACUCCGCAACCGGCUGGGUUUUUAAGUCGUCAGAAGGGUUCUGGAGGAAGCCUCCUCUGGGGGUGAAAUCCGGGAUUCCGGGCGAUCUUCCCGGCCGUGAACCAGAAUUCCCCCGUCUGGCGUCUGGGACGAGUUCUGGCAACAGGACUGUCGGUUCUGGGCGUCACCGUGGGGACACCGCGGAGAGUAGAGUCGGGUCCCACCCGACCCGUCUUGAAACACGGACCAAGGAGUCUAACAUGUGCGCGAGUCGUCGGGUACUACUAAACCCGAAGGCGCAAUGAAAGUGAAGACUGUGCCUCGUCGCCGGUCUAGGGGAGAUCCCGUUCUGCUUCGGUAGCUCGGGCGCAUCCCCGGGCGUCGAAGCCGCGUUGCCGGCUAGACGAACCAAGAGCGUACACGUUGGGACCCGAAAGAUGGUGACCUAUGCCUGGCCAGGACGAAGCCAGGGGAAACCCUGGUGGAGGUCCGCAGCGAUUCUGACGUGCAAAUCGAUCGUCGGAGUUGGGUAUA